This 475-nucleotide long non-coding RNA is filed under the name Struthio camelus australis. RNAcentral's name for it is "lncRNA (ENSSCUG00000008781.1)". Lineage: Eukaryota; Metazoa; Chordata; Aves; Struthioniformes; Struthionidae. The record is from RNAcentral.
GGAUUAUUUGCUUCAUGUUUUUCUCCUAGCGGACCUCUUUGACAGAAUUUUACCUGACUUUGCCAAAGGUUUACUGAAAGUGCAUUGUUUUGAUGAAUUCUGAGGUAUCAGCUUUGGUUGCUCAUUUGCUCAGGCUCAGAUCCAUUCAGUCCUUCAUCUCUAGAAGACCCUCUCCUUUCCCUCCUCUACCCAGAUCAGAUGCCAUUUCAAGCAGGUCUGAGAAGGGACUGAAGAAGGUAAGGACUUCAGUCUCAAGUCAUAUGAAGCAAGAAAUAAGAAUAACUGGAAAUCGAGGACGAGAUGGAAUGCAGGCCGCUAAGGGAUUAUAACGGAGAAAGUACAACAUGUGCCAUAAAAGAUUACACACAUCCUGCCACACUCCGCAGAUGGCUGAUACAAAAAUCAGAGACAAUACUAAAAUAAUUAAAAAACUCACAAAAAUAAACCAGUGCAUUCAGCUCCUUUGUGAGGCUGU